UUUAAGUGCAACCACGAGUUUUCGUACCUAACUUUUAAUCGUCCAUUUUAUUUAUUUUUUUUAUAAUUAGUAUUUUUAUUGUUUUUAAUUUUUUUAAGAUAAGAUGGAAGAUCAAAAUUAGAUAAAAAAUCAUGACUGCAUUUAAA
This 146-nucleotide microRNA precursor is filed under the name Oryza rufipogon (brownbeard rice). RNAcentral's name for it is "MIR812 microRNA precursor family". It matches the Rfam family "MIR812 microRNA precursor family". Lineage: Eukaryota; Viridiplantae; Streptophyta; Magnoliopsida; Poales; Poaceae. The record is from Rfam by way of RNAcentral.